UCCUAAUAGUGACUUUAGAUGGCUUUGAGG
RNAcentral lists this non-coding RNA (30 nucleotides) under Mus musculus (house mouse). The record is from RNAcentral. Lineage: Eukaryota; Metazoa; Chordata; Mammalia; Rodentia; Muridae.